GUGCUCAUUUCAGCAGCACUUAUGCUAAAAUUGGAAUGCUACAGAGAAAGUUAGCAUGGCCCCUGUGCAAGGAUGACAUGCAAAUUCGUGAAGAGUUCCAUUUCUUU
Molecule: small nuclear RNA, 107 nt
Organism: Lemur catta (Ring-tailed lemur)
Lineage: Eukaryota; Metazoa; Chordata; Mammalia; Primates; Lemuridae
Source: RefSeq, a predicted model, not a curated record